CGAAGGAUGGCAGAAAAAUGCACUAGACCUAAGCCCUACCAAUGAGUUAAAUCUCUCCUUCCA
This 63-nucleotide transfer RNA is filed under the name Cumberlandia monodonta. Its description in RNAcentral is "tRNA-Leu". Lineage: Eukaryota; Metazoa; Mollusca; Bivalvia; Unionida; Margaritiferidae. The record is from RNAcentral.